This 2925-nucleotide ribosomal RNA is filed under the name Escherichia coli. RNAcentral's name for it is "bacterial LSU rRNA". It matches the Rfam family "Bacterial large subunit ribosomal RNA". The record is from RNAcentral. Lineage: Bacteria; Pseudomonadati; Pseudomonadota; Gammaproteobacteria; Enterobacterales; Enterobacteriaceae.
GGGUUGUGAGGUUAAGCGACUAAGCGUACACGGUGGAUGCCCUGGCAGUCAGAGGCGAUGAAGGACGUGCUAAUCUGCGAUAAGCGUCGGUGAGGUGAUAUGAACCGUUAUAACCGGCGAUUUCCGAAUGGGGAAACCCAGUGUGUUUCGACACACUAUCAUUAACUGAAUCCAUAGGUUAAUGAGGCGAACCGGGGGAACUGAAACAUCUAAGUACCCCGAGGAAAAGAAAUCAACCGAGAUUCCCCCAGUAGCGGCGAGCGAACGGGGAGGAGCCCAGAGCCUGAAUCAGUGUGUGUGUUAGUGGAAGCGUCUGGAAAGGCGUGCGAUACAGGGUGACAGCCCCGUACACAAAAAUGCACAUAUUGUGAGCUCGAUGAGUAGGGCGGGACACGUGGUAUCCUGUCUGAAUAUGGGGGGACCAUCCUCCAAGGCUAAAUACUCCUGACUGACCGAUAGUGAACCAGUACCGUGAGGGAAAGGCGAAAAGAACCCCGGCGAGGGGAGUGAAAAAGAACCUGAAACCGUGUACGUACAAGCAGUGGGAGCCUCUUAAUGGGGUGACUGCGUACCUUUUGUAUAAUGGGUCAGCGACUUAUAUUCUGUAGCAAGGUUAACCGAAUAGGGGAGCCGAAGGGAAACCGAGUCUUAACUGGGCGUUAAGUUGCAGGGUAUAGACCCGAAACCCGGUGAUCUAGCCAUGGGCAGGUUGAAGGUUGGGUAACACUAACUGGAGGACCGAACCGACUAAUGUUGAAAAAUUAGCGGAUGACUUGUGGCUGGGGGUGAAAGGCCAAUCAAACCGGGAGAUAGCUGGUUCUCCCCGAAAGCUAUUUAGGUAGCGCCUCGUGAAUUCAUCUCCGGGGGUAGAGCACUGUUUCGGCAAGGGGGUCAUCCCGACUUACCAACCCGAUGCAAACUGCGAAUACCGGAGAAUGUUAUCACGGGAGACACACGGCGGGUGCUAACGUCCGUCGUGAAGAGGGAAACAACCCAGACCGCCAGCUAAGGUCCCAAAGUCAUGGUUAAGUGGGAAACGAUGUGGGAAGGCCCAGACAGCCAGGAUGUUGGCUUAGAAGCAGCCAUCAUUUAAAGAAAGCGUAAUAGCUCACUGGUCGAGUCGGCCUGCGCGGAAGAUGUAACGGGGCUAAACCAUGCACCGAAGCUGCGGCAGCGACACUAUGUGUUGUUGGGUAGGGGAGCGUUCUGUAAGCCUGUGAAGGUGGCCUGUGAGGGUUGCUGGAGGUAUCAGAAGUGCGAAUGCUGACAUAAGUAACGAUAAAGCGGGUGAAAAGCCCGCUCGCCGGAAGACCAAGGGUUCCUGUCCAACGUUAAUCGGGGCAGGGUGAGUCGACCCCUAAGGCGAGGCCGAAAGGCGUAGUCGAUGGGAAACAGGUUAAUAUUCCUGUACUUGGUGUUACUGCGAAGGGGGGACGGAGAAGGCUAUGUUGGCCGGGCGACGGUUGUCCCGGUUUAAGCGUGUAGGCUGGUUUUCCAGGCAAAUCCGGAAAACCAAGGCUGAGGCGUGAUGACGAGGCACUACGGUGCUGAAGUGACAAAUGCCCUGCUUCCAGGAAAAGCCUCUAAGCAUCAGGUAACAUCAAAUCGUACCCAAAACCGACACAGGUGGUCAGGUAGAGAAUACCAAGGCGCUUGAGAGAACUCGGGUGAAGGAACUAGGCAAAAUGGUGCCGUAACUUCGGGAGAAGGCACGCUGAUAUGUAGGUGAAGCGACUUGCUCGUGGAGCUGAAAUCAGUCGAAGAUACCAGCUGGCUGCAACUGUUUAUUAAAAACACAGCACUGUGCAAACACGAAAGUGGACGUAUACGGUGUGACGCCUGCCCGGUGCCGGAAGGUUAAUUGAUGGGGUUAGCGGUAACGCGAAGCUCUUGAUCGAAGCCCCGGUAAACGGCGGCCGUAACUAUAACGGUCCUAAGGUAGCGAAAUUCCUUGUCGGGUAAGUUCCGACCUGCACGAAUGGCGUAAUGAUGGCCAGGCUGUCUCCACCCGAGACUCAGUGAAAUUGAACUCGCUGUGAAGAUGCAGUGUACCCGCGGCAAGACGGAAAGACCCCGUGAACCUUUACUAUAGCUUGACACUGAACAUUGAGCCUUGAUGUGUAGGAUAGGUGGGAGGCUUUGAAGUGUGGACGCCAGUCUGCAUGGAGCCGACCUUGAAAUACCACCCUUUAAUGUUUGAUGUUCUAACGUUGGCCCGUAAUCCGGGUUGCGGACAGUGUCUGGUGGGUAGUUUGACUGGGGCGGUCUCCUCCUAAAGAGUAACGGAGGAGCACGAAGGUUGGCUAAUCCUGGUCGGACAUCAGGAGGUUAGUGCAAUGGCAUAAGCCAGCUUGACUGCGAGCGUGACGGCGCGAGCAGGUGCGAAAGCAGGUCAUAGUGAUCCGGUGGUUCUGAAUGGAAGGGCCAUCGCUCAACGGAUAAAAGGUACUCCGGGGAUAACAGGCUGAUACCGCCCAAGAGUUCAUAUCGACGGCGGUGUUUGGCACCUCGAUGUCGGCUCAUCACAUCCUGGGGCUGAAGUAGGUCCCAAGGGUAUGGCUGUUCGCCAUUUAAAGUGGUACGCGAGCUGGGUUUAGAACGUCGUGAGACAGUUCGGUCCCUAUCUGCCGUGGGCGCUGGAGAACUGAGGGGGGCUGCUCCUAGUACGAGAGGACCGGAGUGGACGCAUCACUGGUGUUCGGGUUGUCAUGCCAAUGGCACUGCCCGGUAGCUAAAUGCGGAAGAGAUAAGUGCUGAAAGCAUCUAAGCACGAAACUUGCCCCGAGAUGAGUUCUCCCUGACUCCUUGAGAGUCCUGAAGGAACGUUGAAGACGACGACGUUGAUAGGCCGGGUGUGUAAGCGCAGCGAUGCGUUGAGCUAACCGGUACUAAUGAACCGUGAGGCUUAACCUUACAACGCCGAAG